Molecule: long non-coding RNA, 1483 nt
Filed under: Anser cygnoides (Swan goose)
Lineage: Eukaryota; Metazoa; Chordata; Aves; Anseriformes; Anatidae
Description: lncRNA (ENSACDG00005018326.1)
Source: RNAcentral
GUAAGCUAAAAACACCAGCCCAACGCCACCAACUUGUUCCUGGCACUGCCUCGUGGCUCCCCAUCCCUGAAGCAGCCAAGUGUUCUGCUGUGGAAAUAAAGCUGCAGUCAGCUGGUGUGAUUCAGAGCAGUAUCGCAAAGACAUGUGGCAGGCCUACUUCUGCCACACCCAAGUCUCACUCGUAUUUAAACGUAAAACAAACCGCACACCGGCCUGAACUAACUUCAAGGAAGUUUUAAAAGAAAUCUUUAAGACAUCUUACUGCGUACUACGACUAACUCAAAUUCCCCCUCUGUUUAAGAUGACAGCCUGCUUCAUUUCUCGUUUGUAGUUACAGUUUUGAAAACGAUUUGAAAAGUUAUGCCCUCAAAAAGAUCUUCACAUUCUCAGAAUACAGAUUCAAGAAAUCCAAGACGAAGUCUUUAGAGGCGUGUAGUUUCCCAACAUCUAAAACUGAAUGCUACAGUGGCUUUUUAUUCACAACGUACGUUCCUUUUAUCAAAAGUAAGACUUGAAAGUCAUUAUCCACCCCCCUAAACAAUGGUGUGUGAUAGUUAACAGAGCUCAGAAGCGUUGGCUGGUUUUUUUUUAACGUCUCCAGUAACUCUGCGCACUUGACACUAGUAACAGAGCAAGACAAGAACCGAGGUCAUUUUGAUCCACAGGUGACAUAUCUCCAUUCCAUCAGGCGCUGUUAAAUCAUUACCUCUUUCGCACCGUUAUGAACAUCCUGUGUGUUCCAGAACAGCACUUACUUACAGGAGCGUGCUCUAACACCAAACGUGUCACUGUGCUUUAGCAGCGACAACGCUGCUCGCAGAACUCCACGCAGUACUCUACGCUCUCGGCCACUUGAAAGGACGAGCGACCAGGCUCCACGUUUAACAGCUCUACACCAGAAAACUGGUCCAAAAAAUGUCAGCGCCUAGAUCAGCAAAACCUCAAGCAGACAGUGGUCGAUUAUUUCAUAGCAGUCUUUACCAAAGCACCGGUUAUUCAAACUACAAGCCAACAGCAACGUGUUCCUUCUACGUCAUCUUUUAUUAACCUAUCACAAAUGAAGCCCAAAGCUGAGCUACGGGCACUUUUUUCCAUUUUCAUGGCAUCAGGCAAAAUCAUUCUCAGCCCUAUUACAAAAUCCAGUCAAGCCAGAAAUAAUAUAUUCACGAAAUGCAAAAAUACAUGCGUUAGAGCCCAGAUCACUGUCAGGUUGAUAAAAAGACUCAAACAGUGAGCGUAGUGGUUUGUUUCAUAAAAGACGUGUCUCUGCCACUACGUAUUAUAUCAGCUUCAAGUAUUAAGUCAUCAACAUUCUACUAAAGGGAUGAGACAAAAGUCACUUAGCUACCAGCUUCUGUGCUUUGGGAACACCUGGGUUCAGAGCUAACGAAGCUGGGUGUCUGUACGUGUUCCCGUAACACCUUCAUCCCCCAGCACAUAGAAUAACCCCACACCACCCCGCAGCUCGCAUCCUCCGGCCUCC